This is a long non-coding RNA of Nothobranchius furzeri (turquoise killifish), 805 nucleotides long. RefSeq lists it as uncharacterized. NCBI's taxonomy places the organism in Eukaryota, Metazoa, Chordata, Actinopteri, Cyprinodontiformes, Nothobranchiidae. The record is from RefSeq and is a predicted model, not a curated record.
UCCACGGCUCAUACCAGUAGGCCAGUAUUUGAACUCGAGGAGGGACAGUCUGCUGGCACCACAUCUCCCCAGGAAGAUACUUUAGAGAGACCUACCAGUAUAUGUGAACUUGAUGAGGGACAGCCAGCUGCCACGUCUCCCCAACAAGAUAUGUCAGAGAAGCCUGAACGAUCAACCAAUGAGUCCCAUUGAAGGUGAUGAUGAGCCUCUUUCUUCAGACCCAGCCAAGUGGCCAUCACCAAUUACCGACAGCAUACGCACAAAGCUAGUUCGAGGAGGACCUACCAAGGUGCCAACUACUUUCAUAUUUCCCAGGUAUGAAGGCGAUGGCAGGUGUUGUCAUCAUCACUAAUUCAGUAGAACUUUGACAAGUGGUGAGAAGGUGGCCAGGAGCUGGAUGUUGUAUUCAGUUAGCAAACGUUGUUAUAUAUAAUACACUCCACGCAAUUUGAAACAAAGUUGUAGGUGUAAUUUUUUUUCUUGUGUGUGUGUGUGUUUGUGUGUGUGUGUGUGUGUGUGUGUGUGUGUGUGUGUGUGUGUGUGUGUGUGUAACCAGUUUGCCCCGCUGGUUGAUAAUGGAAACUGCGCUGAUCCUGCUGCUGUUUAGUAGACCAAUUCCUUUCUAAAUGAUUAAGUAAAUAACUGUUUGUGGUCGUGUACAAUGCUGUUGUAUAUUUACCUCUGUAUGUAUUUUUAAUUUAACAUAUUUGUUUGAAUUCACAUUUAUUAAAUCCAUCUUUUGAUGUAAAAACUGCAUUUAAAAUUAUGGAAAUGCUAUAUUUCUCCGCAGGAGUGUGUGUGUGUG